CGCAAGGCAGAGUGGUAGAAGAGCGUUGCAUGCGCGUCGAAGGGCGAUGGCGACUGACCCUGGAGCACAUGCAAGUGAGUAUGCAGACAUGAGUAACGUUAAGCCGGGUGAAAUCCCCGGCCGCCGUAAACCCGAGGUUUCCAGGGCAACGUGUUUCGUCCCUGGGUUAGCCGGGACCUAAGCCGAGGCCGAGAGGCGUAGGCGAUGGACAUCAGGUUAAUAAUCCUGAGCUCGCAACCCUUAAACUGGGGGGACGCAUGAGAAAAGAUGACUAGGUUAUUGAAUUCCGAGUUGAGUCCACGGACUCAGCGCAUCAUUGGAUCGAGUGCCAAGAAAAGCCCCAGCGUAUGCUAAGCGACCCGUACCGCAAACCGACACAGGUGGGUGGGUAGAAUAUACCAAGGCGUAAGAGUGAAACCUGGUUAAGGAACUCGGCAAAUUAGCCCCGUAACUUCGGAAGAAGGGGUGCCUGCAGCGAUGCAGGCCGCAGAGAAAUGGCCCAACCGACUGUUUAUCAAAAACACAGCACUCUGCAAAGACGCAAGUCGAAGUAUAGGGUGUGACACGUGACCAAUGCCGAAAGAUUAAGGCAAGGGGUUAGCCGCAAGGCGAAGCUCUAAACCCAAGUCCCGGUGAAUGUCGGCCGUAACUAUAACGGUCCUAAGGUAGCGAAAUUCCUUGUCGGGUAAGUUCCGACCUGCACGAAUCGUGAAACGAGUUGGGCACUGUCUCAACCAGGCGCUCAGUGAAAUUGUAGUGGCGGUGAAGAUGCCGCCUACCCGCAGAAGGACGGAAAGACCCUAUAGACCUUAACUGUAAGCUGUCAUUGUUUCUUCGGUUUUAAUGCUCAGAGUAAGUGGGAGACGCUGAAGACGCCCUUUAGGGGGCGUCCGAGUCAUCAAUGAGACACCACCCUUUGAAACUGGAGGAUCUAACCCUGAGCCGUGAAUCCGGCCAGAGGACCGUGUCAGCCGGUCAGUUUUACUGGGGCGGUAUCCUCCCAAAGAGUAACGGAGGAGCGCGAAGGUGGGCUCAGCCCGGUUGGCAACCGGGUGUCGAGUGCAUGGGCAUAAGCCCGCCUAACUGUGAGACCAACAAGUCGAGCAGAUGCGAAAGCAGGCCCAAGUGAUCCGGCGGUAGAAAGUGGAAUUGCCGUCGCUCAACGGAUAAAAGGUACCUUAGGGAUAACAGGCUGAUCACGCCCAAGAGUUCAUAUCGACGGCGUGGUUUGGCACCUCGAUGUCGGCUCGUCGCAUCCUGGGGCUGGAGAAGGUCCCAAGGGUCCGGCUGUUCGCCGGUUAAAGCGGCACGCGAGCUGGGUUCAGAACGUCGCGAGACAGUUCGGUCCUCUAUCCUCUGUGGGCGUUGGAAAAUUGAGGGGUUCAGACCUUAGUACGAGAGGACCGGGUCUGACGCACCACUGGUGCAUCGGUUGUACUGUCAAGUGCAUGGCCGAGUAGCUAAGUGCGGACGGGAUAAGCGCUGAAAGCAUCUAAGCGCCAAGCCCUUCCCAAGAUGAGUUUUCCCUACAGGUUCGUGGAAGACCACCACGUUGAUAGGUCGCAGGUGUAAGUGCAGCAAUGUAUUGAGCCGAGCGAUACUAAUUACCAAUUGACUUCAUCAU
This 1624-nucleotide ribosomal RNA is filed under the name human gut metagenome. RNAcentral's name for it is "bacterial LSU rRNA". It matches the Rfam family "Bacterial large subunit ribosomal RNA", at positions 1214 to 2925 of the family's 2925-position model. The record is from RNAcentral.